This 1327-nucleotide long non-coding RNA is filed under the name Cyanistes caeruleus (blue tit). Its description in RNAcentral is "lncRNA (ENSCCEG00000022905.1)". The record is from RNAcentral. Lineage: Eukaryota; Metazoa; Chordata; Aves; Passeriformes; Paridae.
AUUUUCUUCUCCCACAGGACAGAAAUAGAGUGGCAGAAGAAGGAAAAAUAAUCACCAGCAUCUGAAGCCCUCUCCUACAUCCUUCUGCAUUAUUUUGCCAUGCCAGAGACCUUGACUGUGCAGAUGUUGCUGUCAACUGGAAGAACAUCUGCAAUUUGUGAACAUUUGAGUGCAGACUGCCCUAUGAGGUGGUCUCCUCCUUCCAUUGCAUCUUCUGAGGUGAAACCAAUUUCAGGCAGGGCAACACCACUUGCCAAGGCCUGCAGUCCUGCCCUCCUGGUCAGCAUUUGCACCCCUCAGCUACCACUGCCUCUGGAUCAAGACUGAGCUGCCAUGUAUGUCCCUUGGCUGUAUCAUGUAUGACUAUGGCUUGGGUGGUCAAGCCUGAUCAGGGGGUAUUACUGUCUGCUGAAGGCAUGUAAACUGCUGCAGAAUGCAUCUCAGUACAUCUUGUGCCUAUGUUCAAAAUAGCAAUUGUUUUAGUGUCAGUAUUGCAAGAAGGGUGUGGUUUAGAGCAGAGUUCAAAGCUCCCCAAAAUGUGGGGUGAAAAAGCACAAGAGGAAACAAUGCUCAGUCAAGUUACUCAAGCUUUUUCAGAGAAGAAUUAAAUUUUUUAUUGAUCCUCUGUCCUUAUGAGACCCCUGAACACUGACCACAAUUUCUUAAAAUUGUGUGCCUGUCUUUUUGCAGUCUUUUUAAACUUCACUGUCAGUCUCUCCAUGAGCCUCAGAGAGCAUCAGGACUUGCCAUUUUAGAAGUACAACUGGGAAAAUCCCCUUUUGGGUCUCUGCCCAGAGAACACAGAGGAGAUCCUCCCCCAGGUGUGCUCGACACUGGCAAUGAGCAGCUCAGAGCAGCAUCACACAUGUGGAUGGCAACACUGGGCAAGCAGUGUGUGAAAAAUGAGCUCCCCUCUCUGCAGCAGGGCAUCAGCCUAGCCCAGGGGAUUUGGCACAGUGGUUGCUGAUGCUUGGUACAAGAGUGAAACCCUGAAACGGGGCUCAUGUAUGCAUGAAGUGAUUAUUCACUUUCUCUCCAAUGACACUUAGGGUUGAGACAGCAUCAGACAUCAGUGUAGACAGCUGUGAGCCUGAAUUUUAGUGUGCUAUACUAAAUUGUGUCUUUUGCCAUUUCUCUGGCUACCACUUCAAUUAUGCAGGGAAAACUGCCUUGGCAUCUUGAGUGUGAGAGUUGUUAAUUUUACAGAACAAUCCCUUAAAUGGGUAGAAACUCAAAUAUAAAUGCAUAACGCUGGAUCUAUUGCACCCACUGAGAACAUACACUAACAUCCAUGCCAACUAUUCUUGGUUAUAAAUGAUAUAAAUAA